RNAcentral lists this transfer RNA (73 nucleotides) under Sus scrofa (pig). Its description in RNAcentral is "tRNA-Thr (AGT) (tRNA-Thr-AGT-8-1)". It matches the Rfam family "tRNA". From Rfam's summary of the family: Transfer RNA (tRNA) molecules are approximately 80 nucleotides in length. Their secondary structure includes four short double-helical elements and three loops (D, anti-codon, and T loops). The record is from Rfam by way of RNAcentral. Lineage: Eukaryota; Metazoa; Chordata; Mammalia; Artiodactyla; Suidae.
GGCUUCGUGGCUUAGCUGGUUAAAGCGCCUGUCUAGUAAACAGGAGAUCCUGGUUCGAAUCCCGGCGAGGCCU